Molecule: transfer RNA, 100 nt
Filed under: Armillaria solidipes
Lineage: Eukaryota; Fungi; Basidiomycota; Agaricomycetes; Agaricales; Physalacriaceae
Rfam family: tRNA
About the family: Transfer RNA (tRNA) molecules are approximately 80 nucleotides in length.
Source: Rfam by way of RNAcentral
UCGGAUAUGGUGUAACGGCUAACAUUGCCGCCUUUCAUCCUUUUGUAUGCGUAACCGUACCCUUUCGCGGCAGCUCGGGGUUCGAUUCCCCGUAUCCGAA